AUUGAACGCUGGCGGCAGGCUUAACACAUGCAAGUCGAACGAGUGGCGGACGGGUGAGUAAUGCUUGGGAAUCUCGCUUAUGGAGGGGGAUAACUACGGGAAACUGUAGCUAAUACCGCGUACCAUAGGCUGAGCCCAAGUGGGAUUAGGUAGUUGGUGGGGUAAAGGCUCACCAAGACGACGAUCCAUAGCUGGUCUGAGAGGAUGACCGGCCACACUGGGACUGAGACACGGCCCAGACUCCUACGGGAGGCAGCAGUGGGGAAUAUUGCGCAAUGGGGGCAACCUGACGCAGCCAUGCCGCGUGAAUGAAGAAGGCCUUCGGGUUGUAAAGUUCUUUCGGUAGCGAGGCGUUAACUAAAGAAGAAGCACCGGCUAACUCCGUGCCAGCCGCCGCGGUAAUUC
RNAcentral lists this ribosomal RNA (405 nucleotides) under uncultured bacterium. RNAcentral describes it as "partial 16S ribosomal RNA". It matches the Rfam family "Bacterial small subunit ribosomal RNA", at positions 30 to 526 of the family's 1533-position model. The record is from RNAcentral.